CUCUAUGGCUAUGCUGCCCUGUACUUGCCGGAUCUCUUCUGAUCUCAGAAGCUAAGCAGGGUCGGACCUUUUUAGUACUUGGAUGGGAGACCUCCUAGGAAUCAUACCAGGUGCUGUAGGCA
Pteropus vampyrus (large flying fox) is the source of this 122-nucleotide ribosomal RNA. The record is from Ensembl. Lineage: Eukaryota; Metazoa; Chordata; Mammalia; Chiroptera; Pteropodidae.